UACGUAGGUGUCAAGCGUUGUCCGGAUUUAUUGGGCGUAAAGCGCCCGCAGGCGGCUUGCCAAGUUCGAUGUGAAAUCUCCCGGCUCAACUGGGAGGGUGCAUCGAAAACUGGCAGGCUUGAGGCAGGGAGAGGGAUGUGGAAUUCCAGGUGUAGUGGUGAAAUGCGUAGAUAUCUGGAGGAACACCGGUGGCGAAGGCGGCAUCCUGGACCGGCAUUGACGCUGAGGCGCGAAAGCCAGGGGAGCAAACGGG
RNAcentral lists this ribosomal RNA (253 nucleotides) under uncultured bacterium. RNAcentral's name for it is "partial 16S ribosomal RNA". It matches the Rfam family "Bacterial small subunit ribosomal RNA", at positions 524 to 776 of the family's 1533-position model. The record is from RNAcentral.